This 254-nucleotide ribosomal RNA is filed under the name uncultured bacterium. RNAcentral's name for it is "partial 16S ribosomal RNA". It matches the Rfam family "Bacterial small subunit ribosomal RNA", at positions 524 to 776 of the family's 1533-position model. The record is from RNAcentral.
UACGUAGGGUGCGAGCGUUAAUCGGAAUUACUGGGCGUAAAGCGUGCGCAGGCGGUCUGUUAAGACAGAUGUGAAAUCCCCCGGGCUUAACCUGGGAACUGCAUUGGUGACUGCAUCGCUCGAGUAUGGCAGAGGGGGGUAGAAUUCCACGUGUAGCAGUGAAAUGCGUAGAGAUGUGGAGGAAUACCGAUGGCGAAGGCAGCCCCCUGGGUCAAUACUGACGCUCAUGCACGAAAGCGUGGGGAGCAAACAGG